UGGGGAAUAUUGCACAAUGGGGGAAACCCUGAUGCAGCGACGCCGCGUGAACGAAGAAGGUAUUCGUAUCGUAAAGUUCUGUCCUAUGGGAAGAUAAUGACAGUACCAUAGAAGAAAGCUCCGGCUAAAUACGUGCCAGCAGCCGCGGUAAUACGUAUGGAGCGAGCGUUGUCCGGAAUUAUUGGGCGUAAAGGGUACGCAGGCGGUUUAAUAAGUAGAAUGUUAAAGAUCGGGGCUCAACCCCGUAAAGCAUUGGAAACUGAUAACCUUGAGUAGUGGAGAGGAAAGUGGAAUUCCUAGUGUAGUGGUGAAAUACGUAGAUAUUAGGAGGAAUACCAGUAGCGAAGGCGACUUUCUGGACACAAACUGACGCUGAGGUACGAAAGCGUGGGGAGCAAACAGG
RNAcentral lists this ribosomal RNA (403 nucleotides) under bacterium. RNAcentral's name for it is "partial 16S ribosomal RNA". It matches the Rfam family "Bacterial small subunit ribosomal RNA", at positions 355 to 776 of the family's 1533-position model. The record is from RNAcentral.